UGAUGUUGUAGCAGUUGAUAUUUAAAGAUUUCUCUAUGUUUGUGUCUUCCAGUGUGACAUUCCAAUCAUACGGAGAUGGUGGACUCCAGAUGGUUUUCUCUGAAAGUGCAGAAACCCUACCAGAGGCACUUCCAAUUGGAUAACAGGCUACACUUAUGAGACAUCUGCUCAGGGGGCCAGUGGAAGAGCCUCUUUUCCUUAUAAUGGAGGAAGAGGACAAGAAAA
Sinocyclocheilus rhinocerous is the source of this 225-nucleotide long non-coding RNA. RefSeq lists it as uncharacterized. Lineage: Eukaryota; Metazoa; Chordata; Actinopteri; Cypriniformes; Cyprinidae. The transcript is spliced from 3 exons. The record is from RefSeq and is a predicted model, not a curated record.